Molecule: non-coding RNA, 126 nt
Filed under: pig gut metagenome
Description: FMN riboswitch (RFN element)
Rfam family: FMN riboswitch aptamer (RFN element)
About the family: The RFN element is a highly conserved domain that is found frequently in the 5'-untranslated regions of prokaryotic mRNAs that encode for flavin mononucleotide (FMN) biosynthesis and transport proteins. This element is a metabolite-dependent riboswitch that directly binds FMN in the absence of proteins.
Source: RNAcentral
GUUUCAGGGCGAGGUGUAAUUCCUCACCGGCGGUGAACAGCCUUUGCGCUGUAAGUCCGCGAACUGCCUUCUGGCAGCCGAUCUGGUCAGAAUCCAGAACCGACGGUAUAGUCCGGAUGAAAGAAA